GUCGAACGAGAAAGUGGAGCAAUCCAUGAGUACAGUGGCGUACGGGUGAGUAACACGUGGGUGAUCUACCUCUUUGUGGGGAAUAACCCUGGGAAACCGGGGCUAAUACCGCAUAAGCACGAGAGUGGAAAGCAGCAAUGCGCAGAGAGAGGAGCCCGCGGCCGAUUAGCUAGUUGGGAGGGUAAAAGCCUACCAAGGCAAAGAUCGGUAGCCGGCCUGAGAGGGCACACGGCCACACUGGCACUGAAACACGGGCCAGACUCCUACGGGAGGCAGCAGUGGGGAAUCUUGCACAAUGGGGGAAACCCUGAUGCAGCGACGCCGCGUGAGCGAUGAAGCCCUUCGGGGUGUAAAGCUCUUUCGGCAGGGAAGAUGGUGACGGUACCUGCAGAAGCAGCUGCGGCUAACUACGUGCCAGCAGCCGCGGUAAUACGUAGGCAGCGAGCGUUGUUCGGAGUUACUGGGCGUAAAGGGUGUGUAGGCGGUUGUUUAAGUUUGGUGUGAAAUCUCCCGGCUCAACCGGGGGGGUGCGCCGAAUACUGAAUGACUAGAGUGCGGGAGAGGAAAGUGGAAUUCCUGGUGUAGCGGUGAAAUGCGUAGAUAUCAGGAGGAACACCGGUGGGUGUAGACGGCUUUCUGGACCGUAACUGACGCUGAGACACGAAAGCGUGGGUAGCAAACAGGAUUAGAUACCCUGGUAGUCCACGCCCUAAACGAUGCAUAUUUGGUGUGGGCAGUUCAUUCUGUCCGUGCCGGAGCUAACGCGUUAAAUAUGCCGCCUGGGGAGUACAGUCGCAAGGCUGAAACUCAAAGGAAU
RNAcentral lists this ribosomal RNA (817 nucleotides) under uncultured Bacillota bacterium. RNAcentral's name for it is "bacterial SSU rRNA". It matches the Rfam family "Bacterial small subunit ribosomal RNA", at positions 61 to 910 of the family's 1533-position model. Lineage: Bacteria; Bacillati; Bacillota. The record is from RNAcentral.